RNAcentral lists this transfer RNA (72 nucleotides) under Salmo salar (Atlantic salmon). It matches the Rfam family "tRNA". Rfam says of the family: Transfer RNA (tRNA) molecules are approximately 80 nucleotides in length. Their secondary structure includes four short double-helical elements and three loops (D, anti-codon, and T loops). The record is from Rfam by way of RNAcentral. Lineage: Eukaryota; Metazoa; Chordata; Actinopteri; Salmoniformes; Salmonidae.
UCCCAUGUGGCUCAGUUGGUAGAGCAUGGUGUUUGCAACGCCAGGGUUGUGGGUGCGAUUCCCACGGGGGAC